CCCCUCAUUUGCGCAGCUUGCCUUUCCACCUCUCCUAACCUAAAACUCGACGACUCCAUGACUCCACCAGCCAUCAUCUCUGGUGACUGCCACAGUGGACAACUACUUGGUCUCCGGCUCGAUCUCUGUCUCUCCGCCUCGAUCUCCGUCUCUCCGACUCUCCGCAGCUAACAGCUGCCUCUCCGCUUCUCACCCUCUGACCCUCUCGGCCUCUUCGUCACUUCGCCUCUCCGGAAACCCUAGAUCUGCCUUCCAGACUUUGUGUUGGUCUGGUGACCGUCUUUUGCCAUGAAAAUGUAACAGCUUCAGGAUCUUGCUCGACAGCAUUCAAUUGUGCUCAAGAGCUUGUCGCCUGAUGUCAGAAAGCGUGUUGAGUUCCUCAAGGAGAUUCAGACUCAACAGGAUGAAUUGGAGGCAAAGUUUCUUGAUGAGAGAGCAGCACUUGAAGCCAAGUAUCAGAUGCUUUAUCAACCACUAUAUACAAAGAGUUAUGAAAUAGUGAAUGGUAUAGUUGAAGUUGAAGUUGAGAAAGCUGAAGCAGUGUCUAUGGACCACGAAGAUGACCAAAACCGCAAAGAAAGGAGUUCCACAUUUCUGGCUUAUUGUUAUGGAGUAUAAUGAAGUGUUAGCUGUAGAGGAUUCUGUAAGGGAAUAGAAGUAGCAGAAAAGGGGAUUGAGGCUGCGGAGAAAGGAUUUAUCAAGGGAAUAUAAGAGAGUGAAACGACGAAAGAAGGGCUUUGGAAUCAGCAAGCCAAAAUGGUCGUUCCCGCUUGGAAAAGACAGAGGACAGCUGGAGGAAGUUGGAGGUGAACGAUGCUCGGCCUUCCAGUUUGCUCUUGGGCUUUAUGGCUUACUACUCUAUAACCCCAUAUCAAAAAAUAUAGCUAAGUGCUCAAAUACCCCAAGUAGAAGCUUCCUUUGAGUUGGAGCAGAGAAAUCAAGAAUCAUCAAUGGAGGAGAUAACGGAGGGAGUGAACGACAUCAACAUUAACGGAGGCAGCGACGGUGACAUUCAAAAGAAAAAAUCGCAUUCAGGUCUCCAACACUAAGAAGCUAUUGUUCUUCUAUGUCAAUAUUGCCAAGAGGUAUAUGCAGCAGCAUAUUGAGGUGGAGCUUUCUGCUCUUGGAAAGGGUAUGGCUUUAUGGUCCUUGACUCCUUCUAGCUUUUCCUGCUUUUAUAAUUUCUAGACGUUUUAACCCGGAACUUCUGUGUUUUAGAGUUUAUAUGAUUGAUUAAUGUUUGAUUUCUCUAAAUUGUUAAUUGUUUUGUUGAAUUUAAUAUUGUAAUGCUGAAAUUUGAAUUUCAAUUGUAACCGGUCAAAUUCAUUUGAUAUUUGCAGAAUUUUAAAUUUUA
Long non-coding RNA from Ipomoea nil (Japanese morning glory), 1354 nucleotides. RefSeq lists it as uncharacterized. The transcript has 10 exons. The record is from RefSeq and is a predicted model, not a curated record. NCBI's taxonomy places the organism in Eukaryota, Viridiplantae, Streptophyta, Magnoliopsida, Solanales, Convolvulaceae.